GUAUAAAGGGCAACGAUCUCUCCCUCCUGACGGACUCUCCUCCAAUAGUGUAAAAUGAAAUAACUCCGUUCCAGUCGGCGAUACACAGCACGUCGGUAGCUUCAUCUCUAAAAGGGUACCAAUCUGAUAGUUGUCAAAUCUUAAACGAGCAGCACGCACCGUAAGGGAUUCCACGAUAGGCUCCAGAUCGGUACUCCAACUUGUCGUUCGAUGCGCGUUUUCUCUUCACCAUUCUGAGAAAAUACAUGUAAAUCUAUUAAAUUGGCUCAGAAUACAUAGAAAAAUAAUGUUUAAGUAUUCUGACGGAAAUAUAUA
This is a long non-coding RNA of Ooceraea biroi (clonal raider ant), 315 nucleotides long. RefSeq lists it as uncharacterized. NCBI's taxonomy places the organism in Eukaryota, Metazoa, Arthropoda, Insecta, Hymenoptera, Formicidae. The record is from RefSeq and is a predicted model, not a curated record.